AAAACUGGGAAGCAGAUGGAGGAAACAGCAACGGACCGCACCCUGGAACCACGGGAGACUUGAUACUCAGCGCCGCCAAGAAGGGACAAGUCCCGAACGCCCAAGCCCGAGUUCCUGAUUCGACCGUCGGUCUUGCCUCAACCCAAAUACAUCGCAACAGACUUGGAGAAAAGACAAAGGUCCCGGAGGGAUAAAAAGCUGGGUCUUUAAAGGAUUUAAUCCCGUUCUACUUUGCUACUAUUCUAAAGAGGAUUUUUCCGCAUAAGGAUAAAGAGUCUGACCAAGGCUCCUGGAUGUUCCUGCUGCUAAAGAUCCAUCAGCAACUGGGUGUGAGUUGAAUUUCCCCCCAAAAUCUAUCUCAGAACUUGUGACAUAAGUUAGGGAAAGGAGACGGCAUGGUAUGGUUAUACAUGUAGAUCUUAUUAUACUGUUCUCAAAUUUAUAUACAAUUGAUUAUUGAUUUGUAUGUCACAUAUCCCUGCUUAAGCUUGCUU
This is a long non-coding RNA of Xiphophorus couchianus (Monterrey platyfish), 494 nucleotides long. RefSeq lists it as uncharacterized. The record is from RefSeq and is a predicted model, not a curated record. NCBI's taxonomy places the organism in Eukaryota, Metazoa, Chordata, Actinopteri, Cyprinodontiformes, Poeciliidae. The transcript has 3 exons.